This 214-nucleotide long non-coding RNA is filed under the name Capsicum annuum. RNAcentral describes it as "long non-coding RNA (CANN_LNC010194)". Lineage: Eukaryota; Viridiplantae; Streptophyta; Magnoliopsida; Solanales; Solanaceae. The record is from RNAcentral.
GGCGCGAUGGAGCACACACUGCGGGCUCUAGUCUGUCAGACUGGAGUAUGCGUUGCAGGAAAUAUCGGAGCACGCACUGCGGGAUAUAUCGCAGGCUACCUUAUUGGUGGAAUAGAGAGCACGUCGCGAGAUGGUACUAUUUUGGACUUCUAAAUAUGCCCUUAUGCUGAUCCAAAAAUUCCGAAACUCACUUGAGAUGUACCUUUGACAUCCC